Molecule: transfer RNA, 47 nt
Filed under: Corydoras amapaensis (Amapa corydoras)
Lineage: Eukaryota; Metazoa; Chordata; Actinopteri; Siluriformes; Callichthyidae
Also listed under: 8 other names
Description: partial tRNA-Ser
Source: RNAcentral
AGAGGCUUCAAGCACUAAGGACUGCUAAUCCCUAUUCCCAUGGUUAA